RNAcentral lists this microRNA (24 nucleotides) under Macacine gammaherpesvirus 4 (Rhesus lymphocryptovirus). RNAcentral's name for it is "rlcv-miR-rL1-9-5p". Its record names the gene rlcv-miR-rL1-9-5p. The record is from miRBase by way of RNAcentral. Lineage: Duplodnaviria; Heunggongvirae; Peploviricota; Herviviricetes; Herpesvirales; Orthoherpesviridae.
UAAGAGGGGGGCCUGCACGCCGAG